RNAcentral lists this long non-coding RNA (621 nucleotides) under Bos taurus (domestic cattle). RNAcentral's name for it is "long non-coding RNA NONBTAT000376". The record is from RNAcentral. Lineage: Eukaryota; Metazoa; Chordata; Mammalia; Artiodactyla; Bovidae.
UAGGCCUUUCUUUCCCCGCUGCCCCCAGGACUAAAACAAAACAAAAAUCUAUUACAUUAGCACCUUGUUACUCCAAAGGAACAGCUGUGGAAAGACGGUUUGAGUUUGUAAACAUGUCAUUUAAAGGUUUAUUUAGAGCCUAAGAAUUGCUGGAGGCACAGAACAUGAGCCCAAACAUUCCCUUCCAUUGCCGAUUCUCUUUCUGCUGUUGCUGACCUGACUUUAAGUUGCUUUCAUACAUGCUUUUGGGGGUCCCACUUUGACUUUACUGAACUCAUUCUUCAGAGAAAGGCAUGAGGAUGGGUUUAAGAAGUCAAGCAAACAUCCAGAGAAGAGUACUCUUAGAUUAAUUUAAUUGCUAUCUCUUCUGAAAAGUUUCCAAAAUUUCUUCAUCCUACCUUUAUGCUUAGUCAAAUUUUGCUGUUUCUCAGAUUUCAUUUUUCUUAAAAGUAUUUGAAAUUCUAACUGAUUUACUUUUAGAGCUUAAGGUUUAUUUUUCCAUAUAACUCCUAUUUCAAUACUUUUUUAAAAGCAAUAAUCAGGUUUAUGCUUUGUCAGAUCUUACGUGCUAAGCAUGACUGGGAGAUGCUGAAACCAAAUGACUCAUGGUCCAAGCUCUCU